AUUCUCUUCUUUGAUUCACGUAAUAUGGAUUUCUGUUACGUAUCUUGACUCUUGCCCCAGUGUGAGCACCCUUUUCAACAUGUGUCUUCCAUUUGCUACUACAAUCAUUUUAAUCUAAAAUAAAUCAUUCAACCAUCUUGAUACGUUGGAAGCAGUGGACAGAAUUUGGUCCUAAUUUAACAAACCUUAUUCUAUUCACCUGCAAAUCUCCUACAGCUCACUCACUUUUUUCUUUUUUAAAUCUAUUAUUUUUCUUUUGCCCCAACACUAGGAUUACAAGAAUUAAAGGGGUCACAAGGUCCCCCAGGAAAGAUGGGCCCUGUUGGACUAGUAGGAGGGAAAGGCUCACCAGGAGAAAAAGGCACAAAAGGAGAUAUUGGAGAUAGAGGAUUGCAAGGAUCCCAGGUUUGAUGGGUAACUCAGGCAAUGCGGGCCCUUCUGGACCAAGAGGGGAUAAUGGUUCACCAGGCGAAAAAGGAGUAAAAGCGGAGAGAGGCCUGCCAGGAACUACAGGUUCGCAGGGCAAGCCAGGAAUCGCAGGCUCCCCUGGGCCAAAAGGGGACAAGGGUUCAGUAGGUGAAAAGAGAGCAAAAGGAGACAGAGGGUUACAAGGAAGCUCAGGUUUACAGGGCCCCAAAGGGCAAAUUGGCUCUCCUGGACUAAAAGGUGAUAAAGGUUCAGUAGGUGAAAAAGGAACAAACGGAGAUAGUGGACUAUCAGGUAAGUAAAGCAAUGGGGUUUGUUUGUUUGCUGGGGAAGGGAUUUAAGGGUUUUCUCUGUUGGUGUGUGCUAAUGAAUUUUGGACCACUUUCUGCCCCACAUCGACAAGUGGGCUCAAGUAAGUUCCACCUGGGGAAAAAAAAUGUGUGAGGAGAGAUUCUCUCUCUCCCAAUGUAUAUUCAAUUUACAUGUGCAUAAUUUACAUUAUGUAAAACUGGUUCACCUGCAAAAUGUAAGAUAUUAUCUAAACAUAAAGAUCAAA
Molecule: long non-coding RNA, 982 nt
Filed under: Gopherus agassizii (Agassiz's desert tortoise)
Lineage: Eukaryota; Metazoa; Chordata; Testudines; Testudinidae
Description: lncRNA (ENSGAGG00000009846.1)
Source: RNAcentral